UACAGAGGGUGCGAGCGUUGUUCGGAAUUAUUGGGCGUAAAGGGCGCGUAGGCGGUGCGGUAAGUCACCUGUGAAAUCUCCUGGCUCAACUGGGAGCUUGCAGGCGAAACUGCCGUGCUGGAGUGUGGGAGAGGUGAGUGGAAUUCCCGGUGUAGCGGUGGAAUGCGCAGAUAUCAGGAGGAACACCGAUGGCGAAGGCAGGUCUCUGGGCCACUACUGACGCUGAGACACGAAAGCCAGGGGAGCGAACGGG
This 253-nucleotide ribosomal RNA is filed under the name uncultured bacterium. RNAcentral describes it as "partial 16S ribosomal RNA". It matches the Rfam family "Bacterial small subunit ribosomal RNA", at positions 524 to 776 of the family's 1533-position model. The record is from RNAcentral.